UGGGGGGGAGGCCCGUGCUGGGACUGCAGGCGCACUGGCAGCCUCUUUGGCCCUCUCCUCCAGGCCUCCCUGCAGCUGGGGAAACUGAGGCCCAGGGUCAGUCUCCAAGGUCACUCAGCUCGGAGAUGCUGCUUCUCGAAGCGAGAUCUGUCCGACCCCGACCUCCAGCCGCCGUCGGGGUCAGACGUGGGCACAACGGGAGCCGGGAGGCCGCUGUCCCCGCCUUCACAGGAUCCCUGCUGGUCACACGGGGAGCAGCCGAGAUGCGCUGCGGUGGAGGACGGACAAACGGACUGCGGUCCGUCCAGACCACGGAACGUCAUUCAGCGAGAAAGAGAAACGAGCCUAACGCCACGGGAAGACGCGGAGGAGCCUUCAACGCACGUGAGGAAGCGAAGGGAGCCGGUCUGAGGAGGUUAGACGUGCGCGAUUCCAACCACAGGACCCUCUGGAAAUGGAGACACCCGUGGGCCCAGGCGUUGAGGGGGACGAACACCAGGGCCGGCGAGGACGCGGAGAAGGCGAAGCCUGUGCCCGGCUGGUGGGAACGUGCGCUGGGGCGGGCGCCGUGGGAGACAGGGUGGGAGAUUCCUCAAAACGUUAAAGAUGGGAAUACCGUACCGUCUGGCAGGCCCGCUUCUGGGUAUUUAUCCAGAGAGACAGGAUUCAGACAGACACGUGAGCCCCGUGUCCACUGCAGCGCUACUCACGACAGCAGGACGUGGAAACAGCCCAAGUGCCCAUCGAGGGGGGAUUCAAGCGGAUAAAGACGUGGUGGGUGUGUGCACAGCGGAAUACUACGCAGCCAUGAACAAGACCGAAACCCUCCCAUUUCCCGCAACAUGGACCGACCUGCAGGGCGUGAUGCUCAGUGAAAUGAGUUGGACAGAGAAAGACAAAUUCCGCCCCGUCUGCCUUACGUGUGGAAUCUAAGAACUUGAGCUCAUGGGGCCAGAGAGGGGAACGGUGUCACCGGGGCUGCGGAUGGGGAGACGGGAGACGCGGUCGCAGGCACGACCUUCCGGUUAUAAGAAAACAGUUCUGCGGCCUGCUGCACGGGCUCGAGGCCUGUACCUGGUGCUUGGAACGUGCCGGGAGCAGAUCUUCUGUGUUCUCCCCCCGAGAAACAGGCCCGCGUGAGGCUCGGGUGCGUGUGCACCGGCCUCGUUGUGGGGGGCACGUCACAACGUUUACACACGCUGACCAUCACGUUCCGCCUCAAAUACAGACGGCGUUAUCUGUCAGUCACAGCUCGAUAAGGCUGGGGAAAAGUGUGGAAAAAUAAGAGUGUUUGCUCCCAGAGAGAAGGACGGUGGGAACGAGUCGGAGCAGACGCGUCUUUACACCCUCUGUGUGCGUGAAAAUUAACUUGUGCCAAAAAUUAGUAAAGGCAUGUUUUUAAAUUAUGCAGAAAAAAUUAAUUAUGCAAUUCAA
This is a non-coding RNA of Equus caballus (horse), 1434 nucleotides long. NCBI's taxonomy places the organism in Eukaryota, Metazoa, Chordata, Mammalia, Perissodactyla, Equidae. The record is from RefSeq and is a predicted model, not a curated record.